This is a long non-coding RNA of Aedes aegypti (yellow fever mosquito), 361 nucleotides long. RefSeq lists it as uncharacterized. The record is from RefSeq and is a predicted model, not a curated record. The transcript has 2 exons. Lineage: Eukaryota; Metazoa; Arthropoda; Insecta; Diptera; Culicidae.
UUGUUUUGAAUUGAGCUAGAAAUCUUAAAAAGAAACUCUUGCCUCACUCGAACUUUGGUCCCACUUAACUCUAUAUGGAAACGUUGAGAUAUUAUUGCCCCAAUUUCAGUUUCAACUACACCACUGUGCGGCAAAAUUACGUAUCCUUCCACGCAGGUCCUAAAUGUUCUUGAGAACGUUGCCGGAAACAUCAUCUUCAAAAAAGUUCAAAAAAUUUCAAAGGGACAGUUAAAAACUUUUUCCCAAAACUAGAUAUAUUUACAGCUUACAUCGGCCUUAAGACUCUUGACGAAAGGCACUCUUACCACAGACAAACAGACGUCACACUCUCAUCAUUGUCCAUCGUCCACAUUUUCAACGG